This 48-nucleotide non-coding RNA is filed under the name Schistosoma margrebowiei. The record is from RNAcentral. Lineage: Eukaryota; Metazoa; Platyhelminthes; Trematoda; Strigeidida; Schistosomatidae.
AUCCAGCUGACAAGUCCCGAAUAGGACGAAAUGCGCGUCAAACUGGAU